This 90-nucleotide transfer RNA is filed under the name Gammaproteobacteria bacterium. RNAcentral describes it as "tRNA-Ser". It matches the Rfam family "tRNA". Rfam says of the family: Transfer RNA (tRNA) molecules are approximately 80 nucleotides in length. Their secondary structure includes four short double-helical elements and three loops (D, anti-codon, and T loops). Further hydrogen bonds mediate the characteristic L-shaped molecular structure. tRNAs have two regions of fundamental functional importance: the anti-codon, which is responsible for specific mRNA codon recognition, and the 3' end, to which the tRNAs corresponding amino acid is attached (by aminoacyl-tRNA synthetases). tRNAs cope with the degeneracy of the genetic code in two manners: having more than one tRNA (with a specific anti-codon) for a particular amino acid; and 'wobble' base-pairing, i.e. permitting non-standard base-pairing at the 3rd anti-codon position. Lineage: Bacteria; Pseudomonadati; Pseudomonadota; Gammaproteobacteria. The record is from RNAcentral. RNAcentral also lists the same sequence under 1 other name.
GGAGAAGUGACAGAGUGGCCGAAUGUGCUUGAUUCGAAAUCAAGUGAACUCUUACGAGUUCCGAGGGUUCAAAUCCCUCCUUCUCCGCCA